This is a non-coding RNA of Oncorhynchus mykiss (rainbow trout), 297 nucleotides long. The record is from RefSeq and is a predicted model, not a curated record. NCBI's taxonomy places the organism in Eukaryota, Metazoa, Chordata, Actinopteri, Salmoniformes, Salmonidae.
GGAGGGCUUGGAGGAGGUGUUACUGCAGUAUGGAGAACUGAAGUACAUCAAGAUCUGCCUACACCUAGACACUGAACACUCUAAAGGUAUUGCCUUUGUUCAAGUUCAAGUCUAAAGAAGCAGCAGAGAAAUGCAUUGCUGCCGCAGAGGACGAGUCAGAGAGUGGGGGUAUCCGUGUGGAUGGUAGGAAGCUGAACAUCGUAGCGGCGAUAAGCAGAGAGGAUGCCGUCAAACUGAAGGACAAGAAGGUCAAAACGCAUACAGGGACCAGGAACCUCUACCUGGCUAGAGAGGGAU